CUACGGGCGGCACCAGUGGGGAAUAUUGCACAAUGGGCGCAAGCCUGAUACAGCCAUGCCGCGUGUAUGAAGAAGGCCUUCGGGUUGUAAAGUACUUUCAGCGGGGAGGAAGGGAGUAAAGUUAAUACCUUUGCUCAUUGACGUUACCCGCAGAAGAAGCACCGGCUAACUCCGUGCCAGCAGCCGCGGUAAUACGGAGGGUGCAAGCGUUAAUCGGAAUUACUGGGCGUAAAGCGCACGCAGGCGGUUUGUUAAGUCAGAUGUGAAAUCCCCGGGCUCAACCUGGGAACUGCAUCUGAUACUGGCAAGCUUGAGUCUCGUAGAGGGGGGUAGAAUUCCAGGUGUAGCGGUGAAAUGCGUAGAGAUCUGGAGGAAUACCGGUGGCGAAGGCGGUCCCCUGGACGAAGACUGACGCUCAGGUGCGAAAGCGUGGGGAGCAAACAGGAUUAGAUACCCGGGUAGUC
Molecule: ribosomal RNA, 464 nt
Filed under: uncultured bacterium
Lineage: Bacteria
Description: partial 16S ribosomal RNA
Rfam family: Bacterial small subunit ribosomal RNA
Source: RNAcentral